Molecule: ribosomal RNA, 563 nt
Filed under: Pseudomonas aeruginosa
Lineage: Bacteria; Pseudomonadati; Pseudomonadota; Gammaproteobacteria; Pseudomonadales; Pseudomonadaceae
Description: partial 23S ribosomal RNA
Rfam family: Bacterial large subunit ribosomal RNA
Source: RNAcentral
GCUUGACUGCGAGACAGACACGUCGAGCAGGUACGAAAGUAGGUCUUAGUGAUCCGGUGGUUCUGUAUGGAAGGGCCAUCGCUCAACGGAUAAAAGGUACUCCGGGGAUAACAGGCUGAUACCGCCCAAGAGUUCAUAUCGACGGCGGUGUUUGGCACCUCGAUGUCGGCUCAUCACAUCCUGGGGCUGAAGCCGGUCCCAAGGGUAUGGCUGUUCGCCAUUUAAAGUGGUACGCGAGCUGGGUUUAGAACGUCGUGAGACAGUUCGGUCUCUAUCUGCCGUGGACGUUUGAGAUUUGAGAGGGGCUGCUCCUAGUACGAGAGGACCGGAGUGGACGAACCUCUGGUGUUCCGGUUGUCACGCCAGUGGCAUUGCCGGGUAGCUAUGUUCGGAAAAGAUAACCGCUGAAAGCAUCUAAGCGGGAAACUUGCCUCAAGAUGAGAUCUCACUGGGAACUUGAUUCCCCUGAAGGGCCGUCGAAGACUACGACGUUGAUAGGCUGGGUGUGUAAGCGUUGUGAGGCGUUGAGCUAACCAGUACUAAUUGCCCGUGAGGCUUGACCA